Molecule: transfer RNA, 72 nt
Filed under: Gemmatimonadaceae bacterium
Lineage: Bacteria; Pseudomonadati; Gemmatimonadota; Gemmatimonadia; Gemmatimonadales; Gemmatimonadaceae
Also listed under: 2 other names
Description: tRNA-Cys
Rfam family: tRNA
About the family: Transfer RNA (tRNA) molecules are approximately 80 nucleotides in length. Their secondary structure includes four short double-helical elements and three loops (D, anti-codon, and T loops).
Source: RNAcentral
GGCGCCGUGGCCAAGUGGUAAGGCGGGAGACUGCAAAUCUCCUAUUCGUCGGUUCGAUUCCGACCGGCGCCU